This 253-nucleotide ribosomal RNA is filed under the name uncultured bacterium. Its description in RNAcentral is "partial 16S ribosomal RNA". It matches the Rfam family "Bacterial small subunit ribosomal RNA", at positions 524 to 776 of the family's 1533-position model. The record is from RNAcentral.
UACGUAGGGAGCAAGCGUUGUCCGGAAUCAUUGGGCGUAAAGCGCGCGUAGGUGGCUUCGUAAGUCCGUUGUGAAAGUCAAAGGCUCAACCUUUGAAAGCCGAUGGAUACUGCGGAGCUAGAGUACGGAAGAGGCGGGUGGAAUUCCUGGUGUAGCGGUGGAAUGCGCAGAUAUCAGGAGGAACACCAAUAGCGAAGGCAGCUCGCUGGGACGUUACUGACACUGAGGCGCGAAAGCGUGGGGAGCGAACAGG